AUGCAAGUCGAGCGGAAACGAUCCUAGCUUGCUAGGAGGCGUCGAGCGGCGGACGGGUGAGUAAUGCAUAGGAAUCUGCCCGGUAGUGGGGGAUAACCUGGGGAAACUCAGGCUAAUACCGCAUACGCCCUACGGGGGAAAGCAGGGGAUCUUCGGACCUUGCGCUAUUGGAUGAGCCUAUGUCGGAUUAGCUAGUUGGUGAGGUAAUGGCUCACCAAGGCCGCGAUCCGUAGCUGGUCUGAGAGGAUGAUCAGCCACAUCGGGACUGAGACACGGCCCGAACUCCUACGGGAGGCAGCAGUGGGGAAUAUUGGACAAUGGGCGAAAGCCUGAUCCAGCCAUGCCGCGUGUGUGAAGAAGGCUUUCGGGUUGUAAAGCACUUUCAGUGAGGAAGAACGCCUUCGGGUUAAUACCCCGGAGGGAAGACAUCACUCACAGAAGAAGCACCGGCUAACUCCGUGCCAGCAGCCGCGGUAAUACGGAGGGUGCGAGCGUUAAUCGGAAUUACUGGGCGUAAAGCGCGCGUAGGUGGCUUGAUAAGCCGGUUGUGAAAGCCCCGGGCUCAACCUGGGAACGGCAUCCGGAACUGUCAGGCUAGAGUGCAGGAGAGGAAGGUAGAAUUCCCGGUGUAGCGGUGAAAUGCGUAGAGAUCGGGAGGAAUACCAGUGGCGAAGGCGGCCUUCUGGACUGACACUGACACUGAGGUGCGAAAGCGUGGGUAGCAAACAGGAUUAGAUACCCUGGUAGUCCACGCCGUAAACGAUGUCGACUAGCCGUUGGGGUCCUUGAGACCUUUGUGGCGCAGUUAACGCGAUAAGUCGACCGCCUGGGGAGUACGGCCGCAAGGUUAAAACUCAAAUGAAUUGACGGGGGCCCGCACAAGCGGUGGAGCAUGUGGUUUAAUUCGAUGCAACGCGAAGAACCUUACCUACCCUUGACAUCGAGCGAACUUUCCAGAGAUGGAUUGGUGCCUUCGGGAACGCUCAGACAGGUGCUGCAUGGCUGUCGUCAGCUCGUGUUGUGAAAUGUUGGGUUAAGUCCCGUAACGAGCGCAACCCUUGUCCCUAUUUGCCAGCGAUUCGGUCGGGAACUCUAGGGAAACUGCCCG
This 1108-nucleotide ribosomal RNA is filed under the name Halomonas sp. RNAcentral's name for it is "bacterial SSU rRNA". It matches the Rfam family "Bacterial small subunit ribosomal RNA", at positions 55 to 1155 of the family's 1533-position model. The record is from RNAcentral. Lineage: Bacteria; Pseudomonadati; Pseudomonadota; Gammaproteobacteria; Oceanospirillales; Halomonadaceae.